Molecule: long non-coding RNA, 2931 nt
Filed under: Triticum aestivum (bread wheat)
Lineage: Eukaryota; Viridiplantae; Streptophyta; Magnoliopsida; Poales; Poaceae
Description: long non-coding RNA (TAES_LNC007786)
Source: RNAcentral
UAGGAAUCAUUUGGAGAUGGGUUGUAGAUAUUAAGCUAUGAAGGAGAUGAUUUUGAGGUAACAAGCCUUCAGCUUGCUUUCUGUUAACCUUUUUAUGCAUGGGUUCGAUUUGAUGCAAUCUAGGCAUUGUUUGUUGUCGAAUGGAUUAUUUUUUCCUUCUAGGUAACAUCUGAUACUUAGAAUGCAUUAUUUCUGAUGGCCCAGAAAAAACUCUGUGUGCAUAUUGUUCUGUUUAGAUGCAUACAAGAUGCAUGUUUGUGCCUCAUACCUGCUGAUUUGUAUGACUGAGGAACUCUCUUUCUUCCUAGAUGUGGCCAUAUGCUCUUCACUGAUAUAUCAUCUCCUUACUCUUGUAUAUUAUUCACAUAUAGCAUCUCAUUUCUUGGUUGAUUGCUUAUAUAUAUUCAACUUCUGUUUCCUGGCAUUCAUAUAUUACAAGCUAAAUAAAGUUUGCCAUUCCUUUUGGCCAUUUAUAGUUGUAACUAGAAGCAUGGAUGAUCUGUGAUGCUGGCAAUUGUCAGAUUGCACCCAUUUAAUUAUAGCACAAUAUAUCACAUUUGUGGUAAAUUUAGCUAAGCUUGUGCCUACCCUUUUAGUAGUCAAUAUGGUUCAGAUCCAGUAUUUUUUAUUUCCUUUUCUUUUUUUGCUUUCAGCACACAUAUGGCAUUAAAGUUCUUUAUCAUGUAUGUAGGCAAAGUAGUUGUGUCACUUACUGAUGCUCUUAUGGUACACAGUACACUAUUAAGCUGUUGGGCCCAGAAACAGGAAGAGUAAUCCUCUUCCAAGGUUAAUUUUGUGCCUACUUCUUUAUGUACAUAACUCAUGAUUUGACAAAUAGUUAAGUUCCCUAUAUUUAUUUAUUUCUUUCUCUUUCGCUUUCUCUUUCCUAUUUAUGGUUCUGGAACAAAACUGCUAUCCUUUUCUACAAAUUGGAACAGAAAAUAAUGUUGACAAAUGAUUAUAACGGCUUAUUUAUUUUCUUGGUGUUAGAUUACUAAUGUGGAGAACUAUAAUUUUUAUUGAUGGUCGCUUGAUGGCGCUCAUUAGAAUUCAUAUAUGAAUCAAUAUAUUCUUCCACUCUAAUUAGCAUGUUUGGUCUAUUUAAUUUCAAACAUAUCUAUUAUUCACCAAGGCGACUGCCUAAUUUCAUAUGUGUUCAUAUGCAGAAGGUAAAGAUCGUCUAUUAUCGGCGGUUAUUUUACUUAGUUGUAGAUACUACUGAAUAGUUUGCUUAAAAUUUUGAUAGUUUAAAAGAAGUAUUAUGGUGUAGUGCAGUAAUAAUUUUAUUUAAAAUUGCAGACCUUGCAUCAUAUUUUGCUUGUGUAUGUGGGCAGUGUGUUCAAGUUGAUCUGGAACAAUUUGAAGGGUUUCCUCGACACAAAAUCUUCAGCCAAGGUUUACUGGAGCACCUCGAAUUAUGUAUAGAAGUUUAAAAUUGUAAUUGUUUCAGGUUCUUUGCCACAUUAUGUAUGUUUUUUUUUAUUUUUUUAAUAAUUGGAUCUAUUUGCUAUGUGGAACAUGUAGCAUUUACUUGAUCAUAAUCUAAUUCAAUUUUUGACCACCGUCUUUUGGCUCUUGCUUUCAACAUAUGUAGUAUCGCUUAGUCAUUUUCUUGACACGACACUUUAGGCAACGGCUCAGACUUCUUGAGCCAUUUUUCUAUUUAUUGUUGAUACAUCUUCCAAAAUAAACGAACAAUGUUUCCUCCAUAUAUGAAUGGCACAAUGACAUUAUGAAUUCUUUCCAGUCAAUUGAUCAUCAUAAGCCUCAUUCUGUAUUCUUUUUUUUUGCGGGAUAAGCCUCAUCCUGUAUUCAAUACAUUUAUGUGAUGUCUUCCUCGGGAUGGAAAUGUUCCUUGGCACCAUGACGAACAUCAACGGAGGAACAACCUUUUUAUUUUAUUUUCUGUUCCAUCUACUGUAUUGUUGCUGCCAUAAAGAUUUACCUGGACAUGGAGCCAUCAUGAUGUGUUCAAAAAUGAUUACAUUAUCCUUUUUCUAACCUGGUGGUGUUAGAAACAUCUUAGCAUUCAAGCAGGUUUAGUAUGUUGUCUAUUAAUUCCAUUAUGUAAAAAAAUCACUGAUCAUCGCUUGACAGAAAAUAUUUUGAUAUGCCAUCAUGUGCAUGGGCGAAGAACCUGGAUGUUAUUUACAUGUUUUGGAUCAUGGAUGAUUGUUUUGAAAGAAAAAAUAUCAAAUAAAAGAAAGCAUGUGAUAAUGCUGAUAGAUUGAAACUUUGGUUCCUUUUCAGAGGCCCACUUGGAUCCAGCCUUUCCAAUCUGCAUGAAUCUUCCUAAUUCAGCAAGGCCUUCAAACCUCGAUGCUUCUAAAUUUGUGAGCUAAAUGGUAAUUUUUGCAACACUCAAAACUGCACGCUGCCUUAUAGUUUGAGGAUGAUGUUGAGCUUAUCGGUGCUUUGCUCCUAUUUUGUUAUAUCCUGUUUGAAUACAUACGCUAAACUUGAUUUCCUACUAAAUUGAGCAUUCACUACUUGGCCAUAGCGUUGUGACCGGCAUACUCGCGCCAAGGCGCGUUUCCGAUCUAGUAGAAAACGCCCAGAGGAAGGGCAGCUAUUGUCUCAUGGGUUCCAAAGAAGAUGGACCUGUGCGCGUGCGAUUGAGAGGGACAACCAAUGGCAGAAAUCAGUACCAAGGCCCGGAAGCAAUCCCUUCAAAAGUCACACUCGGCACUGAAAGGCAAGAUUGACCCAAUUAAGCGUACCAGGAGGAAAUUUUUCAAGGCAAAUCAUGACUUUAUAGGUUAACAGUGUUCAGGCAAAUCACAUGAGACACAAACAACCACUCGAAGUGGUACAAUAGAGUCUCAACCAAUGCUCUCAUUUGGCAAACAUGUACGGCCAAUUUAAGUUGACUCAUGUGCAACAGAGUUUGCAUUACAUUUACAAACACUAGCUCACUGCUUAGAGAACCAC